RNAcentral lists this unclassified non-coding RNA (205 nucleotides) under Hevea brasiliensis (rubber tree). Lineage: Eukaryota; Viridiplantae; Streptophyta; Magnoliopsida; Malpighiales; Euphorbiaceae. The record is from RNAcentral.
AAAAAAAAAAAAAGGUAUAGUUUGCCAAAUGUUUAGAAUUUGUUUUACGGGUUACAUGAAAACUAGUUUUCCAAUGGAAUUCAUGGUCGAAGCGCAUGCCAUGAUUGGAAGGAGAUGGAAUUCAUGGUCAGAGCUCAUACCAUGAUCGGAAGGAGAGAGAGAGAGGGGGGGGAGAGAAAUGUUUAUUUUUUAAUGUUAAAUUAUU